This 235-nucleotide long non-coding RNA is filed under the name Elaeis guineensis (African oil palm). RNAcentral describes it as "long non-coding RNA (EGUI_LNC036903)". The record is from RNAcentral. Lineage: Eukaryota; Viridiplantae; Streptophyta; Magnoliopsida; Arecales; Arecaceae.
AUUAGGAAUCAGAUCUCAUCUAUAGAAAUCAAAUUUUAACUUAUUUUUCUAUCAUAUGAACCUAUGGCUUGGAUACACUACUGGGUUUUGUUAGGUGUCAUGCAUGCAAAAUUUUGAAAAAUAUUUGAAAAAGCAGUGGAAGAAUAGUUUAAAACAACUUUUAAUCUAUGCAUGCAUAGAUCAAAUCCUAAACCUAUGGAUCUAGUUAAUAUGAUUAAAAAUGAGAUAGUCAUGU